Molecule: non-coding RNA, 21 nt
Organism: Caenorhabditis elegans
Lineage: Eukaryota; Metazoa; Nematoda; Chromadorea; Rhabditida; Rhabditidae
Source: Ensembl
UGCAAUUGUGCUUGAUCGAAU